This 388-nucleotide ribosomal RNA is filed under the name uncultured bacterium. RNAcentral's name for it is "bacterial SSU rRNA". It matches the Rfam family "Bacterial small subunit ribosomal RNA", at positions 28 to 409 of the family's 1533-position model. The record is from RNAcentral.
GACGAACGCUGGCGGCGUGCUUAACACAUGCAAGUCGAGCGGGAUCCAACCGGUGGCAACACCGGGGAAGAUCUAGCGGCGAACGGGUGAGUAACACGUGAGCAACCUGCCCCGAAGACUGGGAUAACACCGGGAAACCGGUGCUAAUACCGGAUGUCGUCAUUAGGCCGCAUGACCUGAUGAUGAAAGGNUUCAUCGCUUCGGGAGGGGCUCGCGGGCUAUCAGCUUGNGGUGGGUAACGGCCUACCAAGGCGACGACGGCUAGCUGGUCUGAGAGGACGACCAGCCACACUGGGACUGAGACACGGCCCAGACUCCUACGGGAGGCAGCAGUGGGGAAUCUUGCGCAAUGGGCGAAAGCCUGACGCAGCGACGCCGCGUGAGGGAU